RNAcentral lists this ribosomal RNA (271 nucleotides) under uncultured bacterium. RNAcentral describes it as "partial 16S ribosomal RNA". It matches the Rfam family "Bacterial small subunit ribosomal RNA", at positions 354 to 615 of the family's 1533-position model. The record is from RNAcentral.
UGGGGGAAUAUUGGACAAUGGGCGAAAGCCUGAUCCAGCCAUGCCGCGUGUGUGAAGAAGGUCUUCGGAUUGUAAAGCACUUUAAGUUGGGAGGAAGAGCAGUUACCUAAUACGUGAUUGUUUUGACGUUACCGACAGAAUAAGCACCGGCUAACUCUGUGCCAGCAGCCGCGGUAAUACAGAGGGUGCAAGCGUUAAAUCGGAAUUACUGGGCGUAAAGCGCGCGUAGGUGGUUAGUUAAGUUGGAUGUGAAAAUCCCCGGGCUCAACCU